This 337-nucleotide unclassified non-coding RNA is filed under the name plant metagenome. RNAcentral's name for it is "partial contains small subunit ribosomal RNA, internal transcribed spacer 1, and 5.8S ribosomal RNA". The record is from RNAcentral.
UUUCCGUAGGUGAACCUGCGGAAGGAUCAUUGCAUCGAUUCAAACCCACACCGGUGACUUACUCGAACGUCCAUGUGUUUCUUGCUUCUCCUCCUCUGUGAGAAGCAACAACGCAUGCGCCUGUUCCCGGCCCUCAGUCGUCCGGGGUAUCUACCCUAGAUUGAGGCGCAAGGUCAGGCGGGCCGGGCGGGGAAACUCACCUUUCCCCAUCACCCGGCUGGCCCAAACCCACCCAAAAGAUCCAGAUACCAACCAGCCUGAAGCGAUCGGUGCGCUCUCCAUGUGGGAGCCGCCAACCAAACGAAGACAACUCUCAACAACGGAUAUCUUGGCUCCC